GACGGAGAAGGCUAUGUUGGCCGGGCGACGGUUGUCCCGGUUUAAGCGUGUAGGCUGGUUUUCCAGGCAAAUCCGGAAAAUCAAGGCUGAGGCGUGAUGACGAGGCACUACGGUGCUGAAGCAACAAAUGCCCUGCUUCCAGGAAAAGCCUCUAAGCAUCAGGUAACAUCAAAUCGUACCCCAAACCGACACAGGUGGUCAGGUAGAGAAUACCAAGGCGCUUGAGAGAACUCGGGUGAAGGAACUAGGCAAAAUGGUGCCGUAACUUCGGGAGAAGGCACGC
This 283-nucleotide ribosomal RNA is filed under the name Shigella sonnei. RNAcentral describes it as "partial 23S ribosomal RNA". It matches the Rfam family "Bacterial large subunit ribosomal RNA", at positions 1471 to 1751 of the family's 2925-position model. The record is from RNAcentral. Lineage: Bacteria; Pseudomonadati; Pseudomonadota; Gammaproteobacteria; Enterobacterales; Enterobacteriaceae.